CAAAACUCCAGAGUUUGAUCAUGGCUCAGAUUGAACGCUGGCGGCAGGCCUAACACAUGCAAGUCGAGCGGUAGCACAGAGAGCUUGCUCUCGGGUGACGAGCGGCGGACGGGUGAGUAAUGUCUGGGAAACUGCCUGAUGGAGGGGGAUAACUACUGGAAACGGUAGCUAAUACCGCAUAACGUCGCAAGACCAAAGUGGGGGACCUUCGGGCCUCAUGCCAUCAGAUGUGCCCAGAUGGGAUUAGCUAGUAGGUGGGGUAACGGCUCACCUAGGCGACGAUCCCUAGCUGGUCUGAGAGGAUGACCAGCCACACUGGAACUGAGACACGGUCCAGACUCCUACGGGAGGCAGCAGUGGGGAAUAUUGCACAAUGGGCGCAAGCCUGAUGCAGCCAUGCCGCGUGUGUGAAGAAGGCCUUCGGGUUGUAAAGCACUUUCAGCGGGGAGGAAGGCGUUAAGGUUAAUAACCUUGGCGAUUGACGUUACCCGCAGAAGAAGCACCGGCUAACUCCGUGCCAGCAGCCGCGGUAAUACGGAGGGUGCAAGCGUUAAUCGGAAUUACUGGGCGUAAAGCGCACGCAGGCGGUCUGUCAAGUCGGAUGUGAAAUCCCCGGGCUCAACCUGGGAACUGCAUUCGAAACUGGCAGGCUAGAGUCUUGUAGAGGGGGGUAGAAUUCCAGGUGUAGCGGUGAAAUGCGUAGAGAUCUGGAGGAAUACCGGUGGCGAAGGCGGCCCCCUGGACAAAGACUGACGCUCAGGUGCGAAAGCGUGGGGAGCAAACAGGAUUAGAUACCCUGGUAGUCCACGCCGUAAACGAUGUCGAUUUGGAGGUUGUGCCCUUGAGGCGUGGCUUCCGGAGCUAACGCGUUAAAUCGACCGCCUGGGGAGUACGGCCGCAAGGUUAAAACUCAAAUGAAUUGACGGGGGCCCGCACAAGCGGUGGAGCAUGUGGUUUAAUUCGAUGCAACGCGAAGAACCUUACCUGGUCUUGACAUCCACAGAACUUACCAGAGAUGCUUUGGUGCCUUCGGGAACUGUGAGACAGGUGCUGCAUGGCUGUCGUCAGCUCGUGUUGUGAAAUGUUGGGUUUGAGUCCCGCAACGAGCGCAACCCUUAUCCUUUGUUGCCAGCGGUCCGGCCGGGAACUCAAAGGAGACUGCCAGUGAUAAACUGGAGGAAGGUGGGGAUGACGUCAAGUCAUCAUGGCCCUUACGACCAGGGCUACACACGUGCUACAAUGGCAUAUACAAAGAGAAGCGACCUCGCGAGAGCAAGCGGACCUCAUAAAGUAUGUCGUAGUCCGGAUUGGAGUCUGCAACUCGACUCCAUGAAGUCGGAAUCGCUAGUAAUCGUAGAUCAGAAUGCUACGGUGAAUACGUUCCCGGGCCUUGUACACACCGCCCGUCACACCAUGGGAGUGGGUUGCAAAAGAAGUAGGUAGCUUAACCUUCGGGAGGGCGCUUACCACUUUGUGAUUCAUGACUGGGGUGAAGUCGUAACAAGGUAACCGUAGGGGAACCUGCGGCUGGAUCACCUCCUU
RNAcentral lists this ribosomal RNA (1542 nucleotides) under Klebsiella pneumoniae. Its description in RNAcentral is "16S ribosomal RNA". It matches the Rfam family "Bacterial small subunit ribosomal RNA". Lineage: Bacteria; Pseudomonadati; Pseudomonadota; Gammaproteobacteria; Enterobacterales; Enterobacteriaceae. The record is from RNAcentral.